Long non-coding RNA from Bufo bufo (common toad), 108 nucleotides. RefSeq lists it as uncharacterized. The transcript is spliced from 3 exons. NCBI's taxonomy places the organism in Eukaryota, Metazoa, Chordata, Amphibia, Anura, Bufonidae. The record is from RefSeq and is a predicted model, not a curated record.
CUGUUCAGGAAAAGGUGUUCUGUGUAGGCAGGAGUCUGUGUAGAGACAGAAGGGAGUGUGCACCUUAGCCAGAGAGAAGCUGAGGGCCACAUCCUGACAUGCAGCUAG